RNAcentral lists this unclassified non-coding RNA (352 nucleotides) under soil metagenome. RNAcentral describes it as "partial contains 5.8S ribosomal RNA, internal transcribed spacer 2, and large subunit ribosomal RNA". The stretch from base 1 to 120 matches the Rfam family "5.8S ribosomal RNA", at positions 35 to 154 of the family's 154-position model. The record is from RNAcentral.
GAUGAAGAACGUAGCGAAAUGCGAUAAGUAAUGUGAAUUGCAGAAUUCAGUGAAUCAUCGAAUCUUUGAACGCACAUUGCGCCCGCCAGUAUUCCGGCGGGCAUGCCUGUUCGAGCGUCAUUACAACCCUCAGGCCCCCGGGCCUGGCGUUGGGGAUCGGCGGAAGCCCCCUGCGGGCACAACGCCGUCCCCCAAAUACAGUGGCGGUCCCGCCGCAGCUUCCAUUGCGUAGUAGCUAACACCUCGCAACUGGAGAGCGGCGCGGCCACGCCGUAAAACACCCAACUUCUGAAUGUUGACCUCGAAUCAGGUAGGAAUACCCGCUGAACUUAAGCAUAUCAAUAAGCGGAGA